RNAcentral lists this ribosomal RNA (458 nucleotides) under uncultured Thiobacillus sp. RNAcentral's name for it is "bacterial SSU rRNA". It matches the Rfam family "Bacterial small subunit ribosomal RNA", at positions 919 to 1382 of the family's 1533-position model. Lineage: Bacteria; Pseudomonadati; Pseudomonadota; Betaproteobacteria; Nitrosomonadales; Thiobacillaceae. The record is from RNAcentral.
ACCCGCACAAGCGGUGGAUGAUGUGGAUUAAUUCGAUGCAACGCGAAGAACCUUACCUACCCUUGACAUGUCCGGAACUUGCCAGAGAUGGCUUGGUGCCCGAAAGGGAAUCGGAACACAGGUGCUGCAUGGCUGUCGUCAGCUCGUGUCGUGAGAUGUUGGGUUAAGUCCCGCAACGAGCGCAACCCUUAUCAUUAGUUGCUACGCAAGGGCACUCUAAUGAGACUGCCGGUGACAACCGGAGGAAGGUGGGGAUGACGUCAAGUCCUCAUGGCCCUUAUGGGUAGGGCUUCACACGUCAUACAAUGGUCGGUACAGAGGGUUGCCAAGCCGCGAGGCGGAGCCAAUCCCACAAAGCCGAUCGUAGUCCGGAUCGCAGUCUGCAACUCGACUGCGUGAAGUCGGAAUCGCUAGUAAUCGUGGAUCAGCAUGUCACGGUGAAUACGUUCCCGGGUCUU